RNAcentral lists this ribosomal RNA (360 nucleotides) under uncultured soil bacterium. RNAcentral's name for it is "bacterial SSU rRNA". It matches the Rfam family "Bacterial small subunit ribosomal RNA", at positions 26 to 383 of the family's 1533-position model. The record is from RNAcentral.
AGAUUGAACGCUGGCGGCAUGCCUUACGCAUGCAAGUCGAACGGCAGCACGGGAGCAAUCCUGGUGGCGAGUGGCGAACGGGUGAGUAAUACAUCGGAACGUGCCCAAUCGUGGGGGAUAACGCAGCGAAAGCUGUGCUAAUACCGCAUAAGAUCUACGGAUGAAAGCAGGGGAUCGCAAGACCUUGCGCGAAUGGAGCGGCCGAUGGCAGAUUAGGUAGUUGGUGAGGUAAGGCUCACCAAGCCUUCGAUCUGUAGCUGGUCUGAGAGGACGACCAGCCACACGUGGGACUGAGACACCGGCCCAGACUCCGUACGGGAGCAGCGAGGUGGGGAAUUUUGGACAAGUGGGACGAAAGCC